RNAcentral lists this ribosomal RNA (702 nucleotides) under Triticum aestivum (bread wheat). Its description in RNAcentral is "partial small subunit ribosomal RNA". The record is from RNAcentral. Lineage: Eukaryota; Viridiplantae; Streptophyta; Magnoliopsida; Poales; Poaceae.
AUGGACGCCGCGUCCUUGUCGCCGCUGCGCAUCGUGCUCUGCCCCUACCUCGCUUUCGGCCACCUGCUCCCCUACCUAGAGCUCGCCGAGCGCCUGGCGCUGCGGGGCCACAGCGUGUCCUACGUCUCAACGCCGCGCAACCUCGCCCGCCUCCCGCCGCUGCGCCCCGCCGCGGCGCCGCGCGUGGACCUCGUGCCGCUCCCGCUGCCGCGCGUCGACGGCCUGCCCGACGGCGCGGAGUCCACUAACGACGUCUCCGCCGCCGACCGCGAGCUCCAUUGGAAGGCCUUCGACGGCCUCGCCGCGCCCUUCGCGGAGUUCUUGGCCGCCGCGUGCGCCGACAAGGCCACCAGGCCUCACUGGAUCAUCGCUGACUGCUUCCACCACUGGGCCGCCGCCGCCGCCCUCGAGCACAAGGUGCCAUGCGCGGCGCUUCUGACGACCGCUGCUAUGCUCGCCGCCGUGCCUCGCCCGCCAUUGGAUCACCCCGAGGCCGACCCUGCCGUUGCCUCUGUGUUUGAACAGGCGGCCAAGGCAAGGCGCGCUGUGCCCAGUUACGAGCGGAAUGCGAUGACACGGUUUGUCACCGGGCAUGGCACGUCGUCGGGUAUGUCCAGCCUCCAGCGCUGCAUCUUGACAGGUGCACGAUCACGGCCAUCCGGAGUUGCGUCGAGUGGGAGCCGGAGUCCUUCCCGCUCUUAG